RNAcentral lists this ribosomal RNA (253 nucleotides) under uncultured bacterium. RNAcentral describes it as "partial 16S ribosomal RNA". It matches the Rfam family "Bacterial small subunit ribosomal RNA", at positions 524 to 776 of the family's 1533-position model. The record is from RNAcentral.
GACGGGGGAUGCAAGCGUUAUCCGGAAUCACUGGGCGUAAAGCGUCUGUAGGUGGUGAUGCAAGUCACUGGUGCAAAACUCUGGCUCAACCGGAGGAAAGCCAGUGAAACUGCAUGACUAGAGUGUGGGAGAGGUAGAAUGAAUUCCCUGAGUAGCGGUGAAAUGCGUAGAUACAGGGAAGAACACCGGAUGCGAAAGCGUUCUAUUGGAACACAACUGACACUGAGAUACGAAAGCUAGGGGAGCGAAUGGG